This 104-nucleotide microRNA precursor is filed under the name Mustela putorius furo (domestic ferret). The record is from RNAcentral. Lineage: Eukaryota; Metazoa; Chordata; Mammalia; Carnivora; Mustelidae.
CGCGUACUGUUUCAUACUUGAGGAGAAAUUAUCCUUGGUGUGUUCGCUCUGUUCGUGAUGCAUCAUACAAGGACAAUUUCUUUUUGAGUAUCAAAUCCUGCCUC